Sapajus apella (tufted capuchin) is the source of this 1718-nucleotide long non-coding RNA. RefSeq lists it as uncharacterized. The record is from RefSeq and is a predicted model, not a curated record. The transcript is spliced from 2 exons. NCBI's taxonomy places the organism in Eukaryota, Metazoa, Chordata, Mammalia, Primates, Cebidae.
CCCAAGCAAUAGAGCAAGACCUGUCUCAAACAAAUAAACACACAUGCAUACAUACAUACAUACAUACAUACAUUAGAUUAAAUCUUGUCACACUUUCAAAGUUUUUCCUGGCUAUUUUUAUUUUUAUUUCAGAAUAACUUUUAAAAAAUAUGUAAAAUUCUAGAAAAAAUUCUAUUGGUAUUUUGUUUGUAAUGAUGUUGAGUAUAUACACAAUAGGGGUUGAAUGGACACCUGACAAUGUUAACUUUUUUAGAUGGUUUAGUACAAAAAACUAAGGACCUACUGUGUGUAAGAUGUUUAGACACUGGAGAUACAGCAUUAAAAAGAUAAGGACCACCAUCCUUUAUCUCGACAAACUUUUAUAAUUGCGAAGGAUUAAAAGUAAAUUUUUUCAGAUUCACAUUUUAGAAUUAUUGCACCGAAAGCAAUGAAGAGAGGAUUUGAGCAGAGACGUACUGGAAGGAGAGAAAACAGUCAGAGGCUGCAUACGUUCUGAAGGCCAGGUCAGAAGUGAACUGGGGGUGGAUCUCAAAGGUUAUUUAGAAGUGAAGUUGACAGGAUAUUAGGAUGCAUUGUGGCCAGAGAGAAGUCUAAGGAUGAUUGUGGUAUUUUGGCUUGGUCAGCUCAGUGGAAAAUAUUGCCAUGCUCAGAGAUUGAAAUACAGGAGGAGCCACGCAUUUCCAAAGGGCUAUGUUAGGUUUGGUUCUACAUGUAGCUAUUAAUGGGAUAUCCAGCCAGAAAUGUUAAGAAAGCAGUGAGACCACUUGGUCUGGCCCUCAGGAAAGUAUUCUUCCUUGGAGAUACAGACACCUGGCAGAAUUUGUUGCAUGAGAUGGGAAGGCCUGUGUCAGAGGCCAGACUGGUUGAAGCCAGUUCAGAAGAUGAAGAGGUAAGGAAGUGUCAGGGUCCAAGAGAAUUCAAAGGGUGCCCAGAGGACAGGUAAGGUAAAGACUGAAAGAUAUCUUUUGGGUUAACCACGAAAGAGUCGGUCUUUUUGCUGGGGUGGUUUAGGUGGAACAGUGGUGAUAGAAGCCCCAUUGCAGUGGGAAUGAGGUUGAAAUAUGAGAAAGUGAUUUCAUUAUUAUCAUCAAUUAUGUUAUUUCUAUCACUGAAGAAACUUUGGAAUUCCUUCUAAAGAGAAUAAGGAGGCUAGGUCCCAGUUGUUUUGCUGUACCUUCAAAUCUAUGUUUUUUAGAUAGAAAAUUUCUUAUUUAUCCACUGUUUACUCAUACUAAGUACUUGGCAAUGUGAUAAGUUCUGGGACUGAGUUGAUAUGAUAGGAAUUGAUAUGCCCCCAUGUCCUUGCAGGACUUGACUCUCUGGCAGGAGAUGUUAGACAAAUAACUAUACAAUUAUAUAUAGCAGUUGUGGUAAGCUCUAUAAAGACAGAUUAGAUGGUACAAUAUUGCUUAUAAUACAGUGGAUAGGAUAGAGGAGAGAUCAAGGACGCCUUCCUUGAGUAAGUGAAUUUGAUCUGAGAUGGAUUUUCUAGGAAGAGGGAAAGGCCCUGAGGUGAAAUGAAGUUUGCAGCUGAUUAAACCAAUGAGGCAUGAGAUGAGAUCAGAGAGGCCCAGACUAAAUCUGUCUAGGUUGUUGGUCAUUUGAAGGGUUUUGGAUUUUGUUCUAAGAGUUACGAUAAACCACUGUAACACUUUUAAAUAAGGGGAUGACUCGAUUGGAUCAUUAGAAUGUAAAGUUCUUGAGUGUAGUGAUUUUUU